CUAAUAUGUUUUCAGAAUUGAAGAAUAUUGGAGCUGGGAUAGAUUUCUGCAGCUUUCUUAAGAUUGAAAUGAGAAUUUCGUUUCGAAAGCGAGGUGGUUUUAUUAUUUUCAGGAUAUGGAUACCUUCUGGGUAUGUUGUUAUGAGUGGAGAGGAUCGGUACGGGAAGGCUGGUACAGGCGCACCUGAGUAUACUCCAAAGAUCUCAUUAGUCUGUGAUGAGCAUCGUCAUCCAGCACAGACCCAAGAGGUCGAUCGAUUUGCUACACUUUCCAGUUGAAUCAGUGGAAUUCCAGCUUUGCAGCUCUGGUGAUUAAGCGGUGGGAUUACAUGCGACUCGACUGUCAGGGAAGCCACACCCCCUCAGCUCAUGCGUCCCACUCUGAUUAAAUGGAAUUGAUUUAAUUGGGUUACCCCACUGAGAGUUCUGGCUAAUGGGAUGUGGAGAUUUUUGAUCAUUGGUACGCAGCUUUGACCCGGCGCAAGUGAAGCGGUGCGGCUUUUUAGUUUGUGGUCAGUGUCUCGUGUGUUUGAAGAUUAAACCCGCCCACCGGCAGUCAAGAUUUUGUCUUAAUCUCUAAUUAGAAUUUGAUCAGCAGGAAUCUGUGGCAACCUUUUCUCAGGAUUGUAGAUUCUGCCACAUCAUUAUCAUUGUGUAUUUUGUAUUCAGUGUGUAUUUGAAAAAUGUCAUUAUUAAUGUGCUUCUGUGGAAUACAAAAUGAAGUCUCAUACACUCUAUUCCAAGUCUUCUGAAGCUAUAUGAUAACUCUGUGAGAGGAACAGACUGAAAUUUGACUGAAACUUAUUGUUCUCAGUAGCUUUGGAGCCUCUGUUCACC
Molecule: long non-coding RNA, 836 nt
Filed under: Sinocyclocheilus grahami
Lineage: Eukaryota; Metazoa; Chordata; Actinopteri; Cypriniformes; Cyprinidae
Description: lncRNA (ENSSGRG00000047722.1)
Source: RNAcentral